CCCCAGCUCUCCAGGGCCACCCAGCUCAUACAUGGCCUCCCGGACUCCGAGGGAGAGCCCCUCCUCCCAGCAGUGAUGAGGGAGCCCCAUCGACCAGACGCCCUCUGCCCACGCCACCUCCAAGGGCAGGGCGGUGGAAAUCCCAUAAUCUCUGGGGCCUCUCCAAGGAGGAGGUGCCCCCGCCCGCCUCGGCCGCGGGAUUCAGUUUCCGGGCCUCUAAUCAAGGGAUCGCCGACAACCCUGGCAGCCGCACGUGCACGCACCGCCAGGCACCUCCACGACCACACCACCCACAUCGCUCACGCCAGCAGGACGGCAGCCGCCUGCCACGCUCCGCUGAGCCAGCCAGAAUGGAAAGGCCAGGAGCGAGGCAGGCGGGUUCCUCCAUUGUCAGCACUGUCCAUUAUCCCCCAGGGCCAGGAUCCCCAGAGCGGAGCCCACCGAGCGGGCCUGGGCAGCCCCACCCAGUGCCCUGCAGGAAGUAGGCCUGUAGGCUGUGCCCAGAAAGCCCACCAGGCACCUCCGGGUGGGCCGAGGGUCCCGGGUCGCGGGUCCCAACGGGGCUCAACAGGACAGAAUCCAGGAUCAGCUGGCUCCUCGGCAUCUGCCACCACUGCCCAGAGAUGGAGAGACCACGACACAGGCACCUAUGGGUGCAAAGGCAGGACGGGCCGGGCCCGGCGUCCUCAUGGAGCUUGUGUCCUUCAUCCACCCUCAGCCGCCUCGGCAACGCAUCCUGACGCAGAGCCCAGAGCCCAGAGCCCAGAGCCCUCAGGGCCAGCAGCACGCCGCGUCUCGUCCAGACUCUGUCCAGGCCCUGACGGUCCGGCACGUGGCAGGCACUGAGCACUGGUGGGACGAGCCUUCCCGCGUGGAAACCGUCUGUGCCUGCGUCCCCACUGGGGUGAGCAGCCCCCACAUCAGGGCUGCACAGGCCUUCUAAUCUGACCCCGCAGCCACGGCCCAUGCCCGGGCCCACAGCAGGCCCUGCAGAAACCCCGCCCGCUUCACUGGAACGGCUCUGCCUGGUCUGCCCAGCCUCACCUCCCUGCACCUGCAACAAGCAGCACGACGCAGCGGCUCUGGGGCCUGGCCACCUGUGGGACCUGAGCAGCGGCUGCCGCUCUCUGCGCCUCAGUUUCCUUGUCUGUAAAAUGCAGGGAAAGGGCAUGCGAUUGGCCGCCCCAUACUCACAAGCUGUGUGGCCUUGAGGAUCUGCUCAGCCUCUCUGAGCCCAGUCCUCACCUGUCAAUGGACUGCAGUGGGCUUGGCACAGGCUGGCACCCAGGCACUUGGCGGACUGUGGCUCACCAGCCCUCCACCUGAGCCGCCGACUCCACUCAGGCCUGGGAGCCACGGGGGCCUGGUGCUCUCUCUGGCCUGACCACGCAAUUCAGGACACCCCUCCACCAAAUGCCGGCACGGGGGCUAGCUGUGCUCGCGCAGGUGGCCCUGGGGAGAUGUCCCGAGCCUGGGGUCUCCGUGUCCCCCAGAGCCAGCCGCACUCAUCACAGAAAGACCCCAGCUGGCCAGAUGCUCCAACGACCCCACCCCAGGAGCGGGCUUUGCUGACCCCACAGCACGGCCGGCCCCUCCGUGGGUCAGGCCAGGGCCCAAGAUGGACACAGCCUAAAUAGGGCUGGGCCUGGCCCUGCCCUCAACACACCCCGUCCAGCCAGAUCUGAGGCAGGAACACCCUGUAGUUAUUUACCCGCCCGUCCACGGCCCACCCCACCCAACUCAAACACCCACACCGGUCACCCGGUCUCCUCUGUCACGGCCAUCCCAAGCCUCAACCUCCAGCAGAGAACCAGGGGAGGAGUGUGAGGAAACUGAGUCAUGCAGCAAGGCACAACUACUCCACCACCCCUCCCCACCGCUGGCCCCAGAGGAGGAAAAGGGGCCACCCUGCAGAACUACCUGGGGAGGGAGUGAGCUCCCCGUCACCAGGUGUGUGCAAGCCAAGCUGCCAAGCCCCCCUGGGGUUACACACACACAUUCGCCUUCUCAGAGGCCCAAGCCUGGGCCAGGAAGCCGGGUGGAGUCUGGAGGGCGGGACCUAUCUAACCCAGAGUUGCUAAAAAGAGCCAACAGGGAAGUAAAAAUAGGAAAUAAAAAUAAAGUUGCUGCAGCCAGCCUGGUGUUUUCGUAGGAAACAAGGCAUCUCCCCAGGGCGGGCUCAGCUCCGGGCCCCUCCCAGGUGAGGAAUGUCUCCCCCUCCUCCAACCUCCAGCUGCCAUCAGGACUUCAACCGUGUGUCCCCAGGCAGGAGCAGGAAGGGCCUCACGGAGGAAUCCCCAGGACCUGGUUCGAAUCCCAGCUCUGCCGCUAACCAGCCGCGUGACCUCGGGCACGGAGCUGAGCCCCUUUCACCAGCGAUGGUCCCCUCCAGGACCCUCCCCAACGGAGCCCCCACUCUGCCCCAAAGGUGGGUGGCCAGGACGCAGAACAGAGACUGGAGGGAGACGGAGCCUGGCUCACCGUGCGGCUCUCAGACCUCAAUUUCCUCAUCCAACAAUCAGAGGAAGCCUUCCUUCCUAUCCGUUCCUGUUGGACCUUCCCAGGGUUGGCACUAGGAUCAUUCGCACUAAAGUGUGCAUGACUGACCCUGG
Non-coding RNA from Equus caballus (horse), 2612 nucleotides. Lineage: Eukaryota; Metazoa; Chordata; Mammalia; Perissodactyla; Equidae. The record is from RefSeq and is a predicted model, not a curated record.